This 483-nucleotide ribosomal RNA is filed under the name uncultured Actinomycetales bacterium. RNAcentral describes it as "bacterial SSU rRNA". It matches the Rfam family "Bacterial small subunit ribosomal RNA", at positions 28 to 523 of the family's 1533-position model. The record is from RNAcentral. Lineage: Bacteria; Bacillati; Actinomycetota; Actinomycetes; Actinomycetales.
GAUGAACGCNGGCGGCGUGCUUAACACAUGCAAGUCGAACGGAAAGGCCCCAGCUUGCUGGGGUGCUCGAGUGGCGAACGGGUGAGUAACACGUAAGUGAUCUGCCCUGCACUGGGGGAUAAGCUUGGGAAACUGGGUCUAAUACCCUAUAGGACCGCAUCGUGGUUGGUGUGGUGGAAAGGUUUUUCUGGUGUGGGAUGAGCUUGCGGCCUAUCAGCUUGUUGGUGGGGUAAUGGCCUACCAAGGCGGCGACGGGUAGCCGGCCUGAGAGGGUGUGCGGCCACAUUGGGACUGAGAUACGGCCCAGACUCCUACGGGAGGCAGCAGUGGGGAAUUUUGCACAAUGGGCGGAAGCCUGAUGCAGCGACGCCGUGUGGGGGAUGAAGGCCUUCGGGUUGUAAACUCCUUUCGUCAGGGACGAAGUUUUUUUGACGGUACCUGGAUNAGAAGCACCGGCUAACUACGUGCCAGCAGCCGCGGUAA